Molecule: ribosomal RNA, 118 nt
Filed under: Triticum dicoccoides
Lineage: Eukaryota; Viridiplantae; Streptophyta; Magnoliopsida; Poales; Poaceae
Source: RNAcentral
UGAUGUGAUCAUACCAGCACUAAAGCACCGAAUCCCAUCAGAACUCCGAAGUUAAGCGUGCUUGGCGAGAGUAGUACUAGGAUGGGUGACCUCCUGGGAAGUCCUCGUGUUGCAUUCC